ACGUAGGCGGCAAGCGUUGUCCGGAAUUAUUGGGCGUAAAGCGUGCGCAGGCGGCUUUGCAAGACAGAUGUGAAAUCCCCGGGCUUAACCUGGGAACUGCAUUUGUGACUGCAUGGCUGGAGUGCGGCAGAGGGGGAUGGAAUUCCGCGUGUAGCAGUGAAAUGCGUAGAUAUGCGGAGGAACACCGAUGGCGAAGGCAGUCCCCUGGGCCUGUACUGACGCUCAUGCACGAAAGCGUGGGGAGCAAACAGGA
This 253-nucleotide ribosomal RNA is filed under the name uncultured prokaryote. Its description in RNAcentral is "partial 16S ribosomal RNA". It matches the Rfam family "Bacterial small subunit ribosomal RNA", at positions 525 to 777 of the family's 1533-position model. The record is from RNAcentral.